This 639-nucleotide ribosomal RNA is filed under the name uncultured bacterium. RNAcentral's name for it is "bacterial SSU rRNA". It matches the Rfam family "Bacterial small subunit ribosomal RNA", at positions 607 to 1244 of the family's 1533-position model. The record is from RNAcentral.
GCUCAACCGUGGAGGGUCAUUGGAAACUGGGAAACUUGAGUGCAGAAGAGGAAAGUGGAAUUCCAUGUGUAGCGGUGAAAUGCGCAGAGAUAUGGAGGAACACCAGUGGCGAAGGCGACUUUCUGGUCUGUAACUGACGCUGAUGUGCGAAAGCGUGGGGAUCAAACAGGAUUAGAUACCCUGGUAGUCCACGCCGUAAACGAUGAGUGCUAAGUGUUAGGGGGUUUCCGCCCCUUAGUGCUGCAGCUAACGCAUUAAGCACUCCGCCUGGGGAGUACGACCGCAAGGUUGAAACUCAAAGGAAUUGACGGGGGCCCGCACAAGCGGUGGAGCAUGUGGUUUAAUUCGAAGCAACGCGAAGAACCUUACCAAAUCUUGACAUCCUUUGACCACUCUAGAGAUAGAGCUUUCCCCUUCGGGGGACAAAGUGACAGGUGGUGCAUGGUUGUCGUCAGCUCGUGUCGUGAGAUGUUGGGUUAAGUCCCGCAACGAGCGCAACCCUUAAGCUUAGUUGCCAUCAUUAAGUUGGGCACUCUAGGUUGACUGCCGGUGACAAACCGGAGGAAGGUGGAGAUGACGUCAAAUCAUCGUGCCCCUUAUGAUGUGCGCUACACACGUGCUACAAUGGACAAUACAAAG